Molecule: ribosomal RNA, 553 nt
Filed under: Hypoderma sinense
Lineage: Eukaryota; Metazoa; Arthropoda; Insecta; Diptera; Oestridae
Description: partial 16S ribosomal RNA
Rfam family: Bacterial large subunit ribosomal RNA
Source: RNAcentral
CGCCUGUUUAACAAAAACAUGUCUUUUUGUAUAUUUAUAAAAAGUCUAACCUGCCCACUGAAUAAUUAAAUGGCCGCAGUAUAUUAACUGUGCAAAGGUAGCAUAAUCAUUAGUCUUUUAAUUGAAGGCUGGUAUGAAUGGUUGGACGAAAUAUUAACUGUUUCAUAAAAAAUUAUAAUAGAAUUUUAUUUUUUAGUAAAAAAGCUAAAAUAAAAUUAAAAGACGAGAAGACCCUAUAAAUCUUUAUAUUUAAGUUAUUUUAAAAUUGUAGAUUUUUUAAUUUUAUAGUAAUAAUUAAUAUUUUAUUGGGGUGAUAUUAAAAUUUAAUAAACUUUUAAUUUUUAGAAUCAUUAAUUUAUGAAUAAUUGAUCCGUUUUUAACGAUUAUAAAUUUAAGUUACUUUAGGGAUAACAGCGUAAUUUUUUUUGAGAGUUCUUAUCGAUAAAAAAGAUUGCGACCUCGAUGUUGGAUUAAGAUAUAAUUUUAGGUGUAGAAGCUUAAACUUUAAGUCUGUUCGACUUUUAAAUUCUUACGUGAUCUGAGUUCAGACCGG